Molecule: ribosomal RNA, 465 nt
Filed under: uncultured bacterium
Lineage: Bacteria
Description: partial 16S ribosomal RNA
Rfam family: Bacterial small subunit ribosomal RNA
Source: RNAcentral
CCUACGGGUGGCAGCAGUGGGGAAUCUUGCGCAAUGGGCGAAAGCCUGACGCAGCGACGCCGCGUGAGGGAUGAAGGUCUUCGGAUCGUAAACCUCUGUCAGCAGGGAAGAACGGUCAAUGUGCUAAUCAUCAGUGAAUUGACGGUACCUGCAAAGGAAGCACCGGCUAACUCCGUGCCAGCAGCCGCGGUAAUACGGAGGGUGCGAGCGUUAAUCGGAAUUACUGGGCGUAAGGCGCACGUAGGCGGUAUGUCAAGUCAAGGGUGAAAGCCCCGCGCUCAACGUGGGAACUGCCUUUGAAACUGGGAAACUGGAGUGUAGGAGAGGAUAGUGGAAUUCCAGGUGUAGGAGUGUAAUCCGUAGAUAUCUGGAGGAACAUCAGUGGCGAAGGCGACUAUCUGGCACAUAACUGACGCUGAGGAGCGAAAGCGUGGGUAGCAAACAGGAUUAGAUACCCCAGUAGUC